Molecule: small RNA, 17 nt
Filed under: Arabidopsis thaliana (thale cress)
Lineage: Eukaryota; Viridiplantae; Streptophyta; Magnoliopsida; Brassicales; Brassicaceae
Description: ATSL120240
Source: RNAcentral
AUUGGACGAACAAAAAU